UUGCAACGUCUUUUUGCAGUUUCCAAUCGAACUGUAGCAAGUGAUUCUGUUUCUACAAUUCGAUUUAAAACUUCGUCAACUAAUUGUACAUAUGUCAUAGGUAUCUUUUCGUCUCCGAAUUCGGAAGGAAAUCUUGCCCUCCGCCCAAAAACAACUUCGUGAGGAGUCAUGCCAGUGGACUCGUGAACAGAAGUAUUAAAGGAAAAAAUGGCAAACGGAAGCCAUUGGUCCCAGUUACUCCGCUCACUGUAAUUGCGUUCGAGAGUUUAAUUAUGGAAUGGGGUGUAGUAAGCACCCCAUCGCAUGACACGAAAUUCAAGAUAUUAUCAUCUCUCAUCCAAAGUUUAUCUCGACUCAACUGAAAUAACGGAUUAAAACGUCAUCAUCAGAAUCUUCAGCAAAAAACUCAACAUCGGUACUUCCUUGAAGACAGGUGCCCAUAGGACGCAACCUUCUUCUAAAAUCA
Long non-coding RNA from Belonocnema kinseyi, 466 nucleotides. RefSeq lists it as uncharacterized. The record is from RefSeq and is a predicted model, not a curated record. Lineage: Eukaryota; Metazoa; Arthropoda; Insecta; Hymenoptera; Cynipidae. The transcript is spliced from 3 exons.